UGGCGAUGAACGGGAUUAGCCCAUCGCGGAACUGCAGGUCACCUUGGCCUUGCGGAAUGUCGCGUUUGGGAGAGUCUUAUCGAGAACUGGACGGCCAGUCAAAGUCCAACUUGACUGUGGCCAUCGACCAAAGAGGGUGAUAGUCCCGUAAGGCGGCUGUCUGUUCUCGCUGACUUUUCCCUCGAGUCGGGUUGCUUGGGAGUGCAGCCCAAAGUGUGAGGUAAACUCCUCAUAAGGCUAAAUAUUACGCAGAGACCGAUAGCAAACAAGUACCGUGAGGGAAGAUUGAAAAGAACUUUGAAGAGAGAGUUCAAUAGUACGUGAAACUGUGUGGUGGUAAACGGAGGGGUUCUCGAAGUUUCUGUGGGGAACUCAACCUUGGUCGGCUUCAGCCUCGUCGUUCUUGAUCAGCAAUGACUCGACGGCUUGUCCUGUUGUUGUCCCGGGUGCACUUUCCCCGCGGUUUACCACAGGAACUGUUCGGUCUGGACCGAAGGGCUCGGGUGAAGUUGUCGGUUAUGCCGGCAGCCCCUUGUUCCUGGCUCCGGACCAGACAGGUACUUGAGUGGACUCGUAUAGCGAGCAAUGCUCUGUUGCGGUUCACAUCUCUCUGUGGAGUAGGUCGGCGGCCCCUCCGACCCGUCUUGAAACACGGACC
Molecule: ribosomal RNA, 658 nt
Filed under: Subeucalanus pileatus
Lineage: Eukaryota; Metazoa; Arthropoda; Copepoda; Calanoida; Eucalanidae
Description: eukaryotic LSU rRNA
Rfam family: Eukaryotic large subunit ribosomal RNA
Source: RNAcentral